GCCCGGAUGGCGAAAUUGGUAGACGCAAGGGACUUAAAAUCCCUCGACCUUAACGGUCGUGCCGGUUCGACUCCGGCUCCGGGCACCA
This 88-nucleotide transfer RNA is filed under the name bacterium. RNAcentral describes it as "tRNA-Leu". It matches the Rfam family "tRNA". Rfam says of the family: Transfer RNA (tRNA) molecules are approximately 80 nucleotides in length. Their secondary structure includes four short double-helical elements and three loops (D, anti-codon, and T loops). The record is from RNAcentral. RNAcentral also lists the same sequence under 4 other names.